CGCAGAGUAGCUGUUGACAUUAUAGUUGCGCAAGCACUUUGUUGACUAUAGAGAACCUCGGGCAAAUCGCACAUCCCCGUGGCGGUGACUUUGCACGCGGAUGUGCAAUGCCAGUUUCUGCGCCUACCAUGGUGACCACGGGUAACAGGGAAUCAAGGUUCCAUUCCAUACAGGGACCCUGAGAAAUGGCUACCACAUGCAAGGAAGGCAGCAGGCGCGCAAGUCUCACUCCCGACGUGGGAAGGUAGUGACG
This is a non-coding RNA of Pelobates cultripes (western spadefoot toad), 253 nucleotides long. NCBI's taxonomy places the organism in Eukaryota, Metazoa, Chordata, Amphibia, Anura, Pelobatidae. The record is from the annotation of a GenBank genome assembly.